RNAcentral lists this ribosomal RNA (222 nucleotides) under uncultured fungus. RNAcentral's name for it is "partial 28S ribosomal RNA". It matches the Rfam family "Eukaryotic large subunit ribosomal RNA", at positions 57 to 276 of the family's 3401-position model. Lineage: Eukaryota; Fungi. The record is from RNAcentral.
AAAAGAAACCAACAGGGAUUGCCCUAGUAACGGCGAGUGAAGCGGCAAUAGCUCAAAUUUGAAAUCUGGCUCCUUUGGAGCCCGAGUUGUAAUUUGCAGAGGGUGCUUUGGUGUUACCAGCGGUCUAAGUUCCUUGGAACAGGACGUCACAGAGGGUGAGAAUCCCGUAUGUGGUCGCUGGUCUUCGCUAUGUAAAGCCCCUUCAACGAGUCGAGUUGUUUG